AUUGAACGCUGGCGGCAGGCCUAACACAUGCAAGUCGAACGGUAACAGGAAGCAGCUUGCUGCUUCGCUGACGAGUGGCGGACGGGUGAGUAAUGUCUGGGAAACUGCCUGAUGGAGGGGGAUAACUACUGGAAACGGUAGCUAAUACCGCAUAACGUCGCAAGACCAAAGAGGGGGACCUUCGGGCCUCUUGCCAUCGGAUGUGCCCAGAUGGGAUUAGCUAGUAGGUGGGGUAACGGCUCACCUAGGCGACGAUCCCUAGCUGGUCUGGGAGGAUGACCGGCCACACUGGAAGUGAGACACGGUCCAGACUCCUACGGGAGGCAGCAGUGGGGAAUAUUGCACAAUGGGCGCAAGCCUGAUGCAGCCAUGCCGCGUGUAUGAAGAAGGCCUUCGGGUUGUAAAGUACUUUCAGCGGGGAGGAAGGCGAUAAGGUUAAUAACCUUGUCGAUUGACGUUACCCGCAGAAGAAGCACCGGCUAACUCCGUGCCAGCCGCCGCAGUAA
This 506-nucleotide ribosomal RNA is filed under the name uncultured bacterium. Its description in RNAcentral is "partial 16S ribosomal RNA". It matches the Rfam family "Bacterial small subunit ribosomal RNA", at positions 30 to 523 of the family's 1533-position model. The record is from RNAcentral.